RNAcentral lists this long non-coding RNA (24450 nucleotides) under Lynx pardinus (Iberian lynx). Lineage: Eukaryota; Metazoa; Chordata; Mammalia; Carnivora; Felidae. The record is from RNAcentral.
AUAACAAUGCCCUGUCCCCUUCAUCGUUACACAGAGCGACAUAAUGUAUGACAAGCUCAGUGCCCUGAUUGAUAUCCUGGCUGAGGAGGCAGCAGUUGAGAAAAGUGCUACAGUAUGUGCAGACAGUGGAAAGGCAGAUGGAAAGCCCUUCAUCCCUCAAAUAGACCACAUAGCCAAGUGCAAGUUGGAGCUGGCCACAAAGGCCCAGAAUCUCCAGAAAUCCUUGAAGCUCAUCAUAUUCCAAGUUGAACAAGGUAAGGGUCCCAGAGUUGUGGCAAUUGAGGUAAAGGAAAGAGAAGGCUCCAGUGGAUGGUUUACUGGUCUCCCUCACUCUGGGCACUCCGGGUCUGCUAUUUGACUCCACUGCCAAAACUUGACUAGAUUCUCUAUUCAUAUAGUAUUCAAAGUCAGUCUUCAGACUGAUAAUUUGAAAAACCUCAGUCCUAAUAAGCUGUCUCUUUGGCUCCUCCUACCUCCCAGACACUCAAUCCUUGCAACUCAUUUAUUUUUGGAACUAACACUCAUCCUAAACAAUUACAGCUCCCAAGAGGUCUGGCUCAAAGCUCUGUCAGCUUCCACCACCAGCCAUGGAAUUUUUUUCCACCUAUUCCUGUUUCCUUCCAACCCACAAGCCUGUGACUAUUUUGAAAAGAAAAUAGUGUUCAUCUAUGCAUGUCUUAUAUAGUAUUAAUCAGGCACAAGGGCCCUGAGAAUGGUCCUGGGAUCUCUGGCAUUGACUGCCAUUUCCCACAACUCAUGACAUAUGUAAGCUUCCAACUCAGUAUGAAAACUCUUUAAACUCCUCCAAAUUCUUAAUUUAACAUUUUGGCUCCCACUUCUACCCACAAUGUUUCCUUGAAAAACAUAUCAGAAAAUGGUAUAAGACCAUGUGUUCUUGAACUGGUGGAGUUGAGAAGUCCACGUAGCAAUGAAGUCCCUUGGAUGGCCUCUGACUUUUAGCCAUGGCACUUUCUCCUGCCUUGGUUCCUUUAGUUACAGCCUCAGCAAGUUUCCAAAAAAGAAGGAAAAUCUCCAUUAUGCACUGGGAAUGAAGUAAACAGCUUGUUUGCCUCUAUUUCUGUAGUUAAGUUUCCAAGUGGGGAUGUACCCAUAAUCUUAUCACAACUAACUCUCAGUCUCCUCCAUGAACAUAUAAGUCAGAAUUAGAGGUGCAGCUUGUGGCCAUGGGACAGAGAAAGGCACAUCUAGUAGAAUAGGGAUUGAACCUAUGAGGUUUGGCACAGGCUGAGCAUCUGAGCCAUACAACAUAUACGCUGGUGAAAGGAAGGAGGCUUCUCAAAUAUUCUUGGAAUGGGUGAAACAUUUGGAUGAAAGAAUGGCAUGGUCUUAGAGGCUCAAGUCUGGAAAACAGUCCUGUGAGUAAAUGUAUUAACAAAGAUGAUAAUGGAGGUAGAAGAGCAGAGGGUUUUCCACCUUUCUCCCUCUGCCCCUGGCUCUGAGCUUCUACUCACACCACAUUUACUGAGUGAAAGAAAAAGAGUAACCAGUAAAAUAGAGAAAGCUCAAGUAUGGAUAUGAAGAGACAUGGGGGCAACACUGUAAGAAAGCUAAGACUACAAACAGCAUUAUGGAGGAGAGGAGAUGGUCAGAUGGGGGUCUCUACUGGCAUUAACUAAAUGAAAGAGAUGCUUAAGAAAAGUUCAACAAAUGUGACCAAUCCUCCUUCCUUUAUUUCUUCCUCCUUCCUUCCCUCCUUCUCUCCUUCUCUCCCUCCCUCGUUCUCUCCUUUUCUCUCUCCCUCCUUUCCUACCUUGCUCUCUCCCUCCCUUCCUACCUUGCUCUCUCCCUCCCUCCCUCUCAUCUUUCCUUCCUACCUUGCUUCCUCCCUCUCUCCUUCCUUUUUUCCUUCCACUUUUUCUCUGUAGUUCUUGAUGAGCAAAGCCGUCAGACAAUAUCGGUUAAGAACUUUACUUCAACUUUCUUCCUGGAAGAUGACUUAAAAGACAUUAGCCAGAUGAGCCCAAGACACCGUAAGGAUCUUUCUCUCCUUCUCUUAUUCUAUCCUUUAUCACUGUUUUCUAGUUCCCAUGGAAUUAAGAUGUGUUUUCAUGCAUCUUUCUUUAGCCAUAAUCCUACUCUGUGGUAGAUAUCUCUCCCUAUGUCCUAGAAACUUCACAGUAUAAGAUCCCAUGCCAAUGUCCAGAAGUAAUGACCUCAUUAAGUACUUUGAAAAGGCUGGCCUGAUGAAACCCAAGAUUUGAAGCAAGCAACCCAACCUUACUGUUCUCUCAGAGGAAGUCCCUGUUCAUCUAAGAUGAUCCCUCUUUGGAAUGAGAACCUUGAUUAUAAUCUAAGAGAAAGUCAUUGAGUUUGACCAUGGUUCCACAGAGAAAAUAGGGUGAAAUGCAAGUGGGGGGAAGGGCUUUCUUGUUUGUAUCUGACACCAAGGUGACAUCUUUUGUGUCUAGGUUCCCAUCAUGGCACUUUGUCUUCUAUAUCUUCUCUCAAAAGUGAAGACCUAGACAACCUCAAUUUGGAGCACUUAUAUUUCACACCUGAAACUAUGUAAGUAUUUAGCCCUACCACCAUUUUAUGACUUUUCCUUUCUCUGGUUAAGAGUAGCCUAAGGAUAUUGAGUCAAAUCCUGACUCUACUUACUAGUUGUGUGACCUUACACAAGUAAUUCAACCAAUCUGAACCUCAAUUUUCUCAUGUAUAAGAUGAAGAUAAUUGUAGAACUAGCCACAUAGGCUUCUUGUGUUUAUUCAGUUUAUAUACACACAGUACUUGCAUUGAACAGUGCUUAGCAUCCACAGUUAAGUACUAUAUGUGUUAACAUAAUUAUUGUUAUUCUUAUUGUAAAUACUUGAUAAAUAUUAGCUGUUGUUAUUGCAAAGGACCUGUUUUUCCAUUGUUGCCUUUAACAAUAAAUAAUUGGAGACACUAAAAAAUAAGUGAUCAUUUAGGGGGCUAGAUAGGAAAUCUAAAAACAUCUGUAUCACUAGCCCUACCUCUUUAAAAUAUUCCCAGGAGCCAAGUUCCACCACAUUUACUCAUUUUGAGUUUCACUAAGAACAGUUUGGACAUCACUUGGAGAAACUCCAAUCUCUGGACUGCAGCUGAGGGAGGCAAAUCUCAUGUGAGAGAUGUGGGGUCAGUUUAGUAUCAAAUAAAAAUAUAUCUAUGAGUAAAUAACUGUAUUCAUUUUCAGUUGCUCAAAAGAAGGACACAGUUGGUAGUUAAGUUAACUGCAGCUUCUCAUUUAUUCCUAUCUCCAACCCCCACUCCCCUCUAUUUCAUUAUUGGCUUAUGCUCAUGUCUGAGGUCUCAUGGACCUACCUUAUGAGCUUUGAUCAGUGGUAUGCUGCCAAAUGUUUAACAACUAGCUCUCUGGGGGGAAAAUCCUGAUUUAUUCCUGGUGCAAACCCUCCCACCAUGGCCUAUUUCAAGCUACUGAUAUAAUUCCAUUGAAUGCAGAGUUGGGACAUAAUAGGCACAAUCAGCUUAUAUGAGCUGGUACUAACUGGCUUUAGCACAUUACUGGUUUUGAUGUUGACACCCAAGGUGGUUGCAGAAGAAUCAAGAAACUGGUUGGCUUUUCCCUCAAAUGUGUGGUCACUUGGACCUUUGAUGUGAAAGUGGUACAAAGGAGUUCAGACAUCUCUGAAAACGGUAGUACAGACUUUACUUUCAUCAUACAUUUUUAUCUGAGAUACUUAUUCUUUAUGGGAAUAAGUCAAUGACUAUUUCCCUUUAUUAUAUGUGAAGAAAAUAUUGGCCACUCAUAUCUAAGGGCCUCCAAGGAUGAUUUCUUUAUUAUGAGUUUCAUGCCACUGAAUCCUCCCAACUGCUGGGUUCCCUCUCUUAAAGCUAACAAGCUAAUUGUUAACAUAAUAGGGUAUUUGUAUAUGCCUAUCAAGAGCAUAAAGUCUUGUGCCCAAUGUAAGGGAGGCCUCCCUCAGUGGUUUUCAGUUAUAUAGAUGAAGCCUCCAGCCUAAUGAUAAUGGCACUUCUUUCCUGCACCAAUGUCUGUCCUCUUCUUCCCGUUGGUGAAUUUAAGACGCUUCAAAGAAAGGUGUGUCAUGAACAACUAUUUUGGAAUUGGACUGGAUGCUAAAAUUUCUCUGGAAUUCAACACCAGAAGAGAUGAAUACCCAGGACAAUACAAGUAAGGAAAAGAAACUCCCCUCCCUAUAUCCAAACACACAAUCAUAAUAUACACAUAUCCUCCUACAUCCCCUAACUUCCAGACAAGAAAGAGAAAGAAAGAGGUUCUUUGGAAGUAAAACACAUUGGUCCCAAUGUUGGCCUAGUGUGAUGGCUUGCCCCAAAUGUUGACCUGGUUUGUGAUGACUCUGCACUGGUAUCCUGAACUUGGAGCUGCCUACAGAGUUUAGACCUAUAGAUUGCUGUGUAACACAGCUCAUGGUGUUACUAUUAUUGAAAACAGAUUACAUUGACUAUUCAGCAAAUUUCCUACCUUUGUUCUGUAUGUGAGAGCUUCACCAGGUCCUAGGAGUGGCUUAAGUCUGUUUUUGCUUGGCAAGCCUGCAAAUUAUCAAAGAUUUCCCUACUAGUUCUUGGUGUCCCUAAUCUGGUCCCCCUGGACCCACUGAUUUUACCUUAUCUGGUGUUAGCUUACUUGGCACCUUUUGGUACUUUUGUACUACAGACAUACCUAAAUGCAGCCUCAGAGUUCUUGUAAAUUGAAACCUCAAGUAAAAAAAAAAGCAUGCCUCCUCCCACCACCCCUGCCAUCUGCCACCAGAACCUCUUUCUCAGAGCAGACAUGGGCUGAGGAACAAGUACUUUAUCAGAUACGUGCUUUGCAAAUAGUAUUUUCCAGUUGCUUGUCUUUUUUAUGACUCAUUUUAUAGUAAACAUUUUUAAAUAGGUAUGCAUAGAUGUAUAUAGGAAAAGAUUUAUAAUUAUAAGACAAUGUUACCAGUGAUUAUUUCAUAGAGAUUCAGUUGCAGGGUAAUUUUGCUUUCUACUUUAUAUAUUUCCUUUUUAAUUAUUGAAAUAUAAUUGACAUGCAAUGUUAUAUUAGUUUCAGGUGUACAACAUAUUGAUUCGACAAUUCUCUACAUUUGCUCAAUGCUCACCAGGAUAAAUGUAGUUACCAUUUGUCACUACACAAUGUUAUUAAAAUAUUACUGACUCUAUUCCCUAUGUUGUACAUUUCAUCUCUGUGACUUAUUUGUUUUAUAAUUAGAAGUUUGUACCUCUUAAUCCCCUUUAUCUGUUUUGCUCAUCUUCCCACCCACAUCUGCCUCUGUAAACCACCAGUUUAUGUUCUGUAUUUGUGAAUCUUUUUUGGCUUUGUUUUGUUUUUAUUUUUUAAAUGUUUAUUUAUUUAUUUUUGAGAGAGAGAGAGAGAGAGAAAGCAAAAGCCAGGAAGAGGCAGAGAGAGAAGGAGACACAGAAUCUGAAGCAGACUCCAGGCUCUGAGCUGUCAGUGCAGAACCUGAUGUGGGGCUUGAACCUACAAACCAUGAGAUCAUUACCCAAGCUGAAGUCAGAAACUUAACCAAUGAGCCACCCAAGCACCCCUAUUUUGUUUUUAUAUUCCACAUACAAGUGAAAUUAUACAGUAUUUGUCUUUCUCCGUCUGAUUUAUUUCACUUAGCAUAAUACCUUCUGAGUCCAUCCAUGUGGUUGCAAAUGGCAAGAUUUAAUUCUGUUGCUUGUCUUUUUUUGUUGUUUAUCUUUUAAUUUUCUCAGUAGUAUCAUUUGAAAUACAAAAGUUUAAAAUUUGAUGAGUUCCAACUGAUCAAGUUUUUUCUUUUAUGGACUAUGCUUUUGAUGCCACAUCUAAAAAAGUUUCGUCUAACCUAAAGUAUCAAAAAUUUGCUCCUAAGUUUUUCCCAAAAUUUUUGUUGUUUUUGCUCUUACAUUUAAGUCUAUGAUCUGCUUUCAGGUAGUUAUUGUGUAUGGUGUGAGGUAAGGGUCUAGGUUCAUCUUUUUGCACAUGAAUAUCCAAUUACCAUAUCACCAGUUUUGAAGCUAUCCUUUCCCCCAAGGAAUUGCAUUAGCACAUUUGUCAAAAAUAAAUUGAUCAUAAAUGUAAGGUUUUUUUCCCCUAAACUCUCACUUCUGUUCCAGUAUUCUAUAUGUCUAGCUUCACACUAUCUUUAUAACUGUAGCUUUAUAAUAAGUUUUGGAAUUGGGAGAUGAAAGUCCUCCAACUUUGUUCUUCUUCAGAAUUGUUUUGGUCGUUCUAGGUAUUUUGAAUUUCCAUAUGACUGAACUCCUAUUUUUAUAGAUGAGAAAACUAGAUUGCCCAGAGAACUUAUGGUUUCAAAGAGAGCCCAAGUAAUUUUGUGCUAGCUUUCUUGCAUUUCAAGACUCAUGCUUUGUAGUGACUCAUCGUGGCUCUACUUUAAAAGCUCAUAGUAGGGCACCUGAGUGGCUCAGUCAAUUGAGUGUCCAACUCUUGAUUUCAGCUCAGGUCAUGAUCCCAGGGUCAUGGGCUCAAGCCCCAUGUCAGGCUCUGCACUGAGCAUGGAACCUGUUUAAGAUUCUCUCUCUCUCUCUCUCUCUCUCUCUCUCUCUCUCUCUCUCUCUGUGUGUGUGUGUGUGUGUGUGUGUGUGUGUCUCCUCGGCCCCUCUCCCUCACUCAUGCUCUCUUUCUCUCUCUAAAAUUAAAAAAAAUAAAAAUAAGUUUAUAGUAAACUCUAUCCAACCUUUAGAGUGAUUGUAAGUCCCCUGCCUGUUUUUAUCAGAUAUCCUAUAGUCAGUAGAACCCUGUCUUUCCCACCUCCUCCCCAAGUCUCCCGAUAUCCUUUGGCUGUCCCACAUUCUCUCCACUGGCUCCUCCUUUAUAAUCUGCCUAGUAAGCUUAGCCCUAUUCUAUAGCACUGAAUUAAGGGCUUGAUAUACAGGUCUUGGAAAUCCCUCCAUUUUCCCAGAAAGGUUACGCUUCAAAUAUAUGGCAGUAUAAAAGUCACAUGUUUCUAAUGAAAUUGAUCCCAAGCAGCUGAAAUUUUAUGCUCCUGGAAUGGCACUUUCCAGGCUAGCUGGUGUGUAUAAACCAGUUACGCUCAUAGCUUUUUAUGAGUAUUGCUUUCUGAAUAUAGCCUAUCUCUUCCAAGUCUGAGCUAAUAUCAACAUCAAGGAAAAUCAGCAAAUUGGGGGGAUGCUGGGGCUUCCAGGGUGCCCAGGAACCCGUUUCAGCAGGUGUUUGCAUAGGGAUACCCUUUAUAUUAUCCUAGCAUCCCCUCUUGUGUUCAGUUACCAUUUGACAUGACUCCUCUCUAUAAGAAGGCACUUGAAGAUGGUUCUGGCACAAAUAUAGACACAUAGAUCAAUGGAACAGAAUAGAGAGCCCAGAAAUAAACCCACAAUUAUAUGGUCAAUUAAUCUACAACCAAGGAGGUGUGAACAUGCAAUAGGAAAAAUUCUCUUCAACAAAUUAUGCUGGGAAAACUGUACAACUACAUGCAAAUGAAUGAAACUGGACCGUUUUCUUACAGCAUACAAAACAAUAAACUAAAAAUGGAUUAAAGACCUAAAUGUGAGACCUGAAACCAUAAAAAUCCUAAAAGAGAGCACAGGCCAAUAAUUUCUCUGGCAUAGUCUAUAGCAACAUCUUUAUAGAUAUGUCUCCUCUGGCAAGGGAAACAAAAGGAAAAAUAAACUAUUGGGACUACAUCAAAAUAAAAGCUUUUGCACAGCAAGGGAAAAAAUCAACAAAACAAAAAAGACAACCUACUCAAUGGGAGAAGAUAUUUGCCAAUGAUAUACCCAAUAAGGGGUCAGUAUCCAAAAUAUAUAAAGAAUUUAUGCAGCUCAACACAAGAAAAACAAUCCAGUUAAAAUGGGCAGAAGAUGUGAAUAGACAUUUCUGCAAAGAACACAUCCAGAUGUCCAACAGACACAUGAAAAGACGUUCAAUAUUAUUAAUCAUCAGGGAAAUGCAAAUCAAAACAUCACCACCACCUCAUACCUAUCAGAAUGGCUAAAAUGAACUACACAAGAAACAGGUGUUGGCAAGGAAGUGGAAAGAAAGGAACGCUCUUUCACUUUUGGUGGAAUGCAAACUGGUUCAACCACUUGGAAAACAGUUUGGAGGUACCUCAAAAAAUUAAAUAGAAUUACCAUAUGAUCCAUUAAGUCCACUACUGUAUAUUUACCCAAAGAAAAUGAAAACACUAAUCCAAAAAGAUAUAUGCACCCCUAUGUUUAUUACAGCAUUAUUUACAAUAGCCAAAAUAUGGAAGCAACCCAAGUGUCCAUCCAUAGAUGAAUGGAUAGAGAAGAUGUGUGGUGUGUGUGUGUGUGUGUGUGUGUGUGUGUGUGUGUAAUGGAAUAUUAGCUAUAAAAAAGAAUGAAAUCUUGACAUUUGCAAUAACAUGGAUGGAUCUAGAGAGUAUAAUACGAAGUGAAAUAAGUCAGAGAAAGACAAAUACCAUAUUAUUUCACUCAUACGUGGAAUUUAAGAAAUUUAAGAAAACAAAUGAACAAAGAAAAAAGAGACAAACCAAAAAACAGAUUCUUAGGUAUAGAGAACAUACUGAUGGCUACCAAAGGGGAGGUUGGGGGGUGGGGAUGGGUGUAAUAGGUGAUGGGGAUUGAAGAUGAGCCCUGAGUAAUGUAUAGAAUUGUUGAAUCACUAUAUUGUACACCUGAAACUAAUAUAACACUGUAUGUUAAUUAUACUUCAAUUUUUAAAAACUUUUUUAAAAAGGAAGGCACUUGAAGAAUAAGAUGGUGUCUCCUCUUGCUUUUGUUCAUUCAUUUAUCUUUAUAUUAUUCAACCUCUGACUAUCUUUCUCUACCUUUAUCUCCCCAUAGUAGCCGCCUAAAGAACAAGAUGUGGUAUGGCCUUCUGGGAAGCAAGGAACUUUUGCAGCGCUCUUAUAGGAAACUAGAAGAACGAAUACACCUGGAGGUGAGUGCAAAAAGAGGGCAAUACUUCCUGGACAUGGAGAAAGAAAAUCUCAUUACUUUGGGAACCAACUUUCCCCUAUAUCUUUUGUUCUUCCCAAGCUUUAACUCUGAUCCUCCCUCGCAGCUCAAGGGAGGAAGGCAUGAGGAUAGAUUUCCAUUUUAUGGAUUAGAAAAUGAUAGCAUGAAGAGAAAACAGAGCCCUCCCCCCAUAUCUGUAAAUGUCCCUUCAUACUGGUAUCUGAAGGGCCAACCAAUGAGAACUACUCUUUUCUUUCAGUGUGAUGGAGAAGCCAUCUCCUUGCCAAACCUGCAAGGCAUCGUAGUGCUCAACAUUACCAGCUAUGCUGGGGGUGUCAACUUUUGGGGCAGCAGCACAGCAACCACAGUGAGUAUGGAACAAGGAUCAGGGAAGGAAAAGGCUUAACCUCACUAAGGUCUCUCAUAAAGGGUAGCUGCACUGACUGGUGUAGGAAGUAGAUACUGGGGAAAUAGGAGGUAGACUGGGAACAUUUAUUAGCCCAGAUAUAUGAUCAGGGCCUUUGUAAAAGGCAAUUACCAUUCCAGAAUCAACCAAAGACCUCAGGAUCAAACCAAUUCUUAAUUUUGCCCAGACUUCAAAUUUUCUACUCCUAGGCCUGCCUGAAAGAUCUUUGAAAGAUUUCUCUCUUUUCCAAGGAGUUCUGUCAAUAAAACCUCCUGGGAAAUUUGCCAUGGCCCCUUUUCUCUGAGCUCACCCAAGGUUAUCAGGACAGUGGGACUGGCCUUGGGGAUUUAUGAUGCUAGAUUGGACAGCGAGGAACCAGCUAAGAGUUGUAAUCUCAAAAGGGGCUAAAAAUUAUGAUCUCAGUGCCCUUUUCCCAGAUUGGCUUCCUGACCUCAUCUCUCCCCUUUUAAUAUGUAGUUUUUCUACUCUUCAUGAGCUAGAAAAAUUCUCACCAGGAUCCUUAAAAGCAUAUGUACUUGUGAUAGAUAAGGGGUCUCUCAAGAGUGGAAUGACACAGUUUUUCCUCCUCAGGAAUAUGAGGCUCCUGCAAUAGAUGAUGGGAAGCUGGAGGUAGUGGCUAUCUUUGGCUCCGUACAAAUGGCAAUGUCCCGUAUCAUUAACCUGCAUCAUCAUCGUAUCGCCCAGGUAGGCAGGGGCUGGGUAGGUAUCAGAAAAAGGCUGGGCUUUGUGGCUACAACUUAGAAUGUGGAGUACUCCCACGAAUUAACUAGGUGUAAGAGUGCCAGGGUAGAGGGAAAUUAUUUGGUGGGUGGGAAGGUAUUGGCUAAGGUUGGAAACAGAGUUUGUGAGGAGCAAAAAGCCCAUAGGAAACAGAUGUUUUUCCCUGAGAUAAUCUGAUUCACAUCCUUGCCAGUCCUGCUUCAGAUACACAUUAAGGCCAUUACUGUGGGAUUAUCAGAUUGGUCUGUAGCGGUUACCUCAUUUUUCUCCCCCAUUCUCCCUCGUCUUCUGUGACAGUGCCGUGAGGUGAUGAUAACUAUUGAUGGUGAAGAAGGUAUCCCAGUUCAGGUGGAUGGGGAGGCCUGGGUUCAGAGGCCAGGACUUAUCAAGAUCAGAUACAAGAAUGCCGCCCAAAUGUUGACAAGAGAUCGGGUAAGAAAGAAAGUCUCAUCUUUCUCCUACAUUGUCUCAUCUACAGCUAUCAGUUGAGUAUUGAAUACUUCCAUCAAGCAGAAUUCCUCAAAGGGAGGUCUGCAUGCCAAUUAUAUCAGAGUCACCUUGGGUGCUUAUUAGAAAUGCACAUUCCUGGGUCCCACACCAGACCCACUGAAUCAGAAUGGGGGUGGGUAGUUCCUGGGAAUUGCAUUUGUAAACAAGCUCUCUGAGACAUUCUGAUAUAUACUGACAUUUGCAAACCACUGUCCAAAAGAAGAGAGUGAGACAAGGAGCUCCCUCCUUUGGUUUUGGACAGUUAUUCUGCUCCCUCUACUGCACAGAGUGCUAAAGUUAAAGUGCUAAAGAAAUCUUCAACAAGAGAUUCUUCAUUGAAUAUGGUCUUUAGGUUCCUCUAAGUUUCAAAAUGCUGCAUUCACAAAUGUCACCCAUUUAAGUCAAAGCAUCUAAAGCUAGAAAGAAGACAUUAAUGAUCAGAUAUUCAGUACUUAGAGGCUUUCUUCCACUCUAACCUGUGAACAGUCCAUAGAAACAGUAAUAGAGAGGGGAGGGGAUGUCUAGUUUACAAACUGCCUAUUUUGUGCUAGUCACAUGUAGUCUCUCAGGUACUCCCAACAAUCCUAUGAGGUAGAUACUCUUAUUUCCAUUUUACAGGUGAUGAAAAUGAAAACCAGAAAUGUUAAAUAAUAUGUGCUGAAGGUCACACAACCAGUAAAUGAUGAAGCAUAAUUCAAAAUUAAACUAGAUAUGUCUGGCUCUAAAAUCCAUCACAACAUGUGGCCUAGAUUUGGCAAAGAAGGGAGCAUGAAAGGUGUUCCACUGUCUUAUGAUUGUGAUGCCCUCAUAUAAGAGCUUCUGGAAGGUUAACAUCUAUCUGACUGAAGCAUGUUGUCUCAAGAUGCAGCACGGUAACAACAACAACAACAACAAAAUUUAAUAGUGCCUAGUAGGAAAGAGUAAGUAAAAUGAAGGAUAGAUGUGGAUGUGUGUAGAUGAGUGUAUAGCAGAAUGGAUGGGGUCCUCUUUCUCCUUUACCCACCAUACCCACAAAUAUAAGACUCACAAACAGAUCUGCCAUGUACCCUCUUAGCUAUAGCAAUCACCAGGAUAUGCCACCAUCUUCAUUUCCAGGACUUUGAGAACUCAAUGAAAAUGUGGGAGUACAAACAUAGUGAAAUUCAAGCUGCCUCUCAACCCCAACUGGACUCCCAGGAAUCUCAGGAUAGCCUCUCUGAUGAAGAGUAUGCCCAGAUGCAGCACUUAGUUCAGCUUGCAGAAAACCUCAUCAGCAAGUAAGUAGACUGACCCAAAUACAGGGCUGGGAAUCCCAAGAACAGAGAGGGACACUUGUCUGUGUUGGCUACUAGAGAGCCUGGCCUAAGAAAGGAGUCUUUUCCAGAGCCCUGAAGAUUGACAGGGACCCUGAUAAUCUAGGCAGAAAAUAGUCUUUGGCUUAGCAAUAAGCCAGCUUGAACCUCUCCCUUUAGCCCCAGAGAUGAGCUUUGAUCUCCUGCUACCUCAGGCCCAAUAAGACUAAGAAUAUUUAUCCUUGCCCUUAAAUAUCAGGAGGGCCCCAGAGUUCUUGGAGUCAGCUACCCUUCUCUAACCUGGUCUCCCACUCGCCCAAAGCAUCCAGCAUCUAAUUCAGGUGAGACAAGGAUCAAAAAAGACAAAUACCUAGAGAAGAACAGAAAUAUUUUCUGGCAUAGUUGCCUACCCAACUUGAAUACCCAGAGCUCUCAUUUCUAUCCUCAGCUCACCUCUCACCAGCACCCCACGUCAGAAGUUUGUUUUUAGAAUUUCCAGACCCAUUUAUCUGUUCUUGCUUUAUUACAGACUUACUGACCUGAGCAAGGUCCACCAGCAUGUGUCUGUCCUCAUGGAUUCUGUGAAUGCCAGUACUAACAUCCUGAAUGACAUAUUUUACAGCCAAAACAGUGGCAAUGAGGCAGGUGCAGCUUCCUGCAUUCCCAAUGAGGUAAGAAAGGAAGGGGCAGAUGAAGAAAAGGAGUCAAACCAAAUAGGUAAGAAGGUGAAAGUGAAGGAAAGUGAGCCAGAGGCUGGGUGGAGAAACUGGGCAAAUGAUAUGGCAGGAAACUGGUCUAUAGAGUGGAAGGGAGGGCAGGUAUUCCUUGGCUUGUUACAGGUCCAGAAUGGCUGGGUGAGGAGGGACAGGAAUCCCUUAGCAGAUUUCAUCAGCCUGAGAACUAGCCCUCUUCCUGAUAGCUAUCAACCACACUGGCCUCAGGGAAGAAAUAGCCAAUAGAUAGAGAGAAACUUGGCAUUGGCACUUCCUCAUCUCUGGUGGAUCCCUGUAUAACCUGUUAAGGCAAUGCCUGUCAUUGAAACCUGAGCUCCAGGCUGCCUUGGUUUCCCUCUUGAGGGUAAGGUCCAGAUUAGGAUACUUGGUGUUAAAUGUACCAUCCCAUGACUUUACCCAUUGCUGGGAGAUUUAAGUGAUUCUUUUAAAAAGUAACUUUAAUGCUAGACAAAUAAUACAAAAGGGCCAUAUAUAGGAUCAGGGCCUCUUGAAAUGUGGAUUACCUAUUUAUUUUAGGCCAUAUCUUAGUUGGUGGAGGCCUGGAACUCCAAGCCUGGAGUUUCUUUUAUUUAUUUUUUCCUAAUGAGCAAGUGAUUUGUUUGAAAAGUUUAUUUGAUUUAAGCUACUAGAGAAUUCUCCAAUUAUUCUGAUUUUUACUUUAUACUACAUCUUUCAUUUUAAAAAGACAUGAUCAGUAAAUUUAGGGUUUUUGUUUUGUUUUGGUUUUACAUUUCAGUAAUUUGGCCACAUUACAAUUUAAAGUAGGUUUUAUAAUUUGUUUUUGAGUGUAUCUGUUUUCUUAGACAUAAUGUAAAUUCUUGGUAGAGAUUUUUCUUAUGCUUAUUUUAAUUUACCACCACUUAUUUACACUCAAGAAGUCAAAGAAUCACUUGUAUACAAUAAAUUUGGACCCUUAAGUGAUGCUACUAUUAAGCUGAAUAUUUUUCACAUUCAUGAAGCUAUAAUGAAUGAAUUGGGAAAUCUACCACCCUUCUCUUCUGACUUAAAGAAUGCUAUAAAUUAUCAUUAGUUGAUAGAAUUUCAAGUGAAUCUUCAGGUGCCUAUAUAUUUGAAAAAUUAAAACAAUUGAUGGAAAACAUUAAUUAACAAAAAUUUAAUUGUCAAAAGUAAUACGGAUUAUGUAAUAUUUCAUUACAUGUUUAUAUCAGAAGUAAAUUUAUAUUCAGGCAGCUUAAUUUAAAAUUUUAAAAUAAUUAUGUUAUUUUGCAUUUUUAUAAUCUACAGGAAGUGAUGCAUUUAUUUUUCAAUUCCAAAAGUAAAAUAAACCUGAACUUGAAAUAUUCUAAGUUAAUCUCCUUUUGAUAGGCUUCUGUAUUUUUUUGUAGAAACACAAAAGUGGACUUUUCAGACAGCAGAAUGUUUUAGUACCACAUUUUAUACUAUGUGUAUAAAGUAAUAAAUAGCUAGCUUUUGCAUAUCCUGUGAAGAGAAUAAGCCUGGAGUUUCAAAAGAGAUGGUUGGACUCAACCGCACCUACCAUGGGGAAGGUGAUUGUAGUAUAUCAGCAACAAGUAGCAUCAGAUUUACUCUCUGGUUUACAUACUUCCUAUUUCACUAUAUCCACAGCACUUGAUCAAUGGUGCCAAAUGCCAAGGUGUGCUGCACCACUUCGUAGGACACACCAAUAAAGCUGUACCAGUAGUUGACACCUCUGGUUCUGUCAGUUCUGAUUGGUUGAUGCCCAUGCUAUACUAGUUGUACUAUAUUUUGAAAAUUACUUUUUCACCUACAGCCACAUCCUACUAGCCUUCUCCUACUUUCCUACAGAGAAGCCAGCUGCAUGCUUACUAACCAACUCCCCUGUCUUUGUCCUUUCCCUUCCGUUCUUUUCCUUUCUCUUCCUCUCAGACUCUAAGCAGAAACGAUGCAGUAGAUGUUACAUUUAGUCUUAAAGGGCUCUACGAUGACACCAAAGCUUUCCUGGAUGAAAACUUGGUGAGUGGAGGGGGUUGGAAUAAGGGAGGGCAAAGUAUCCCAUCUGAAGAUGGUCAUGUUCUAUGCUUGGUUCCAGAGUAUUGGAAGACAUGUAGGAACAUUUUGGCCAGAUGCUUACCCUGGAAGUCCCUGAUGUGUCAUCCUCACCCAGGAUUGUCAUUGAUUGUAUUGGUUCACAGGUUAUGCUAAACCAUAGGGACUACCAUAUCCUUGAAAAAAAAGUCUCUCCUUCUCUGACACAUGUCUCCUGGGUCCAGACCAAGCCAAUCAAAAGUAGGGUGUUCUCAUCAUACAUAACACAGCUUCAGUAGAAAAGGGUGAGCUCUUUUGAGUUGCUUUAAAUCUUCCAAGUUUCCAAAUACAUUUGUCACCAUGUGGGAAAUUCAAGGUUCAAAUCCAAAAUCUGCCACUUACUAACUGUAUUAGUUUCCUAAGGCUGAUGUACCAAAGUACUGAAACCUGGGUAACUUAAAACAACAGAAAUUUAUUGUCUAAUAGUUUUGGAGACAAUCAAGGUGUCAGCAGGGCCAUAUUCCCUCUGAAAACUGUAGGCAAAUCCUUCCUUGCCAUUGCCUAGCUUCUGGUGACUGGCUGGCAAUCUUUGAUGUUCCUUGGCUUGUAGAUGCAUUACAAUCCUUCAUCUUUAUAUGGUAUUCUCCCUGUGUCUCUGUCUUCACAUGACCAUCUUCUUAUAAGGACACCAGUCACACUGGAUCAGGGCCUACCCCACUCCAGUAUGACCUCACUGCAAUGACUCUAUUUCCAAAUAAGGUCAUAUUCUGAGGUACUGGGGGCUAGGAUUUCAACACAUCUUUCUUGCGGGGAGGGAGACACAGUUGAAUACAUAACACUAGCUGUGUGAAGUAACAUCACAUCUCUGGGUCUCAGUUUCCCUAUCUAUAAAAUAGUAAUUGUAAUCUCUACCUCUCCAGGUUGUGAAAAUUAAAUUAACUGUUGUAUAUUAAGUACAUAGCUAGCCUGGAACCUAGUACCAGCCUGAUAGAUGGUACAUUUUUAUUAGUGUUAGGAAAAAUGGACUGACACUCAGUUUUUGAGCUAUAAGAAUAGUUGAAUGUUUCUUAUAAUGCAAAGCCCAUAGGCACACUUCACGAGUGUGCUCUGAUGAGUCAACUGAUCGUGACCACCCCAUUUUUGGGUUGGCUGCUAAAGCCCUGAGGCAGGUGCUAUUCUUGCCUCUUAUCUAAUUACGGUUUAUUUGAAGAGGGGCUUCUGAGUUGAUAUUGAAAGAAGUGCAUCCACUUCCCCUUUUCCAUUUGCACAUCUAAUUGGCACACUGCACAGGUGGCAGAGUGGCUAAGGCAAUCAGGCCAGGCAAUCCUAGCAUCUGAGCCCAAGCUAGAAUCUUUCAGCCUUAAACAACAGCAACAGAAGUACGUUCUAUACAUAGGCAGAGCUCAAUGGCCUUUCCAGUCUGAGCAUCAGGAAAUAUGAGAGCUUGGCCUCUCAUUGCCACUCAGGCUUUCUUGAAGCUCAUGGCAUGAAAAUUGGUUUGUGCCAGCCAAUAACCCAAAUUGAGAAUAUACCACACUUAACACAGGUUAAAGGCCUGAUAAUGACCACACACACAUUACACACAUCUAAGUGAAACCAGGGGACAGGCAGCAGCUAAGAAUGUCCACAUAUCUCCAGAAAGACUAUGUCAGAGGUGGCAUGGAAAUAAAGCUUAUUUCAUUUUGGUGUUGUUAUUCUUCCCCUUGAAGAAAGAGGGCAGUAAGGAGCUCAGUGUUGGCAGAGUGAUGUAGACUUAUGAUUAAGUAAAUCCCACCCAGUAACUCCCACUUUCUUUAUUUGACAUCCUCACUUAUGCUAUGUAUGGCCAGUGAUGUGUUAGAAUAGGAACUAAGAAAUAAGCAACAAAGUCCUCUGAGUCACUUUGCACAUUUACCUCAGAGAAAAUUCCUGGACAAUGUCUCCAAUACAGCCAGAAGGAUAGGAGAAUAGAGCAUGAGAUUCAGUCCCACCAACCUACAAUAUUUUGAGCCUGAGUCUCUGGAUGCUAAAUAGGAAGUCAUUAGGAAGCCAUUUUAUUAUUCUCCUAUUAAGAUUAGAAAUCAUUUUCCAAGGUCCCAAAUCCCUAUUUCUUCUCUGUGGCUUUGGGUUGACCACCAAACCCCUUUUGAGCAUUGCUGGUAAGUAUGCCCCUAUGGACUCCCUGCCCCUUCUCCCUUACCUUGAAGUGAUAGCCAUUUCUGCCUGACACCUAUCCCCCAUCCCACUGCCAUCUGCAUACACAUGUCCCAUGCAUCUGGGCUACUCUGUACUGUCCUAAAUCAUUACUUGUAAAGCAAACACAAAAGAUUGUCAUCACUGACUUGUUUCUCUCUCAUAUCCCAUCCUGAUGGACCAUAAUCUCCAACCCCAUCCCCCACCUAUUCACCUGCCCCUCAUUUGUGACAGUGGGCAAGGCUCUGUUUGUGGCUGGAGGAUCAAGUGGCCCAUGCACAGCUAGAAGCCACAUAAAUGCCAGAUUGAAAGUAAAGUAUAUGACAGGGAGGAGAGGUGAGGCCAAGUUAGGUGGGCUGGAAAACAUGUCCGGGCUGAUGAUAGCAACAUGCAUCUAUUCUCCGAGCUCACUAAGGGAAAUUAUUUCAACUAUGUUGCUAGUCUAUGACUUGGUUCUUCUAAAUUGGAGAUGGUCCCAGAAGAAUUCGUUUUAACUCUCCAUAGACUCUAAAGUGUUCAUCCAGUGGGUUCUGUGGGUUGUUAGGGAAUGCUUAAGCUUUGUUUGCUGAACCUAUGGGAAAAGCCAUCUGGAUCUCAUUUCUUAAUUACAAACAGUGACUAGCUGGGGGCUAAAGCACAGCUUGGGGAGGCAGACCUUCUCCGCCAGAAAGGGAAAAUUUGAGCCAGUCUCUCUCUAGCUUUCUCCUUGCUUCACAAAGUAGCCUUUAAUUUGUGGUGACUGUGUAAUAAAGAUUCCCCUCAGCAUCUGACCACCCCACAUAUCCUUUCUGGGAAGUGUGGUGUAUAGGGUGGGCUACAGAGUUAAACAUAUCUGAGUUUCUGUCUAGCUAUGUGAUCUUGAUCACCAAACUUCUUUGAGUCUGUUUUCUUGCCUAUAUAAUAAGAAUAGUACCUUGUAAGGUAUUAUAAAGUUAUUGGAAAGAUAGAAUAUCAUGUAGGCAUAAUGUCUGACAUACAGCAUGUGUUAGAAAUUGGUAGCUGUUAUUUAGGGGGACACUUUGAUGUCUCCAGGGAUUUGAGGGUCAGGGAUAAGACCUUUGUUCUGGAUCCUAAGCUGUAGGAGUAUAACUCAAGUGUUCAUUGGUACUGAUCAAAGGACCUCUCUGCUUGCCAGACUGUGAGCAAGACCAGACCCAAGGAAAUCACCACAAUAUGGUUGUUUCCUGGAUCUCCCCAUUGAGAAAGUAAAGAGCUAGCUACACUUUCUAUUGACCCCAUGACCAAAGGAUAUACAAGUGCUACCCAAAGAAAUACCGUGUGGUCUCAUGGCCACUAGCAGGGAAUGGGAGUGUGGGAGACAGCCAGAGUUUAUGAAGACAGGGUGUUAAGAGUUGGACACCCACUCAUUUUCCUGUCUUUGCCAGCUGAGAAGUGCUGAGGAUGAAACCACACUGCAAACUACCCUGGAUACCAUGAAUAAGGAGUUUCAAAAGCUAUCUGAGAUCAACUGGAUGAAUUCAAUCCUUGUUUCAGAGGUGUGUUAACUGGGGAUUAGGAAAUAAUGAGGAAGAGGGAUUCUUCCUUGGUUCCCUCCUUUCCAGUGUGGACCAGGAGGACACAGUGACUGAUGUAGCAAAAGGCGUCCAAGUAGUGGCUUUCAGCUUGAGCUUAAAGGAGCCUCCUCCACCCAUCUCCUCAUCAUAAGCAUACAGGACAUGGUGGAAAGCACACUGAAAACUAGAUGACCUUGUGUAAAUAACCAAAAAGAAGAACUAUUCUGUGGCAGGGCGUUAUUGGGAAAGAAUAAGCAAGAUUGUUUUUUUCUGUGCUGUUCUCUGGUCAUAAUUCCCCUUCCCUGCCCAAUACCUGCUACUAGGAAUUAGAUUUCAUCUGGCACAUACAAUUAUGGCCAAUACCAGUUGUGUGCAUCCAACAUUUGUUCUAAGUGGUUGGUGCCCAGGCUAUAUGGUGGUUAAAACACCUCUCUCUGCUACUUCCUGUCCCUCCCACUCAGGGAGCAUAGCAGGCUCUCUCAGUGCCUUCCCUUAGCAGGUGUAUGGCUUGAAAGAAAAUCAAGCAUGGCAGCAGUGGCUACAAUAUAGCUGUGAGGAUGCUGUCAUUUUUAGAGAGAUCAGGAAAAAGAGGAAGACAGGUUUAUACUCUUCUUCUAAUGGAGAGGAUUGGAGGUAUAAAUAUCUUGAAAAGAAAAUCCCAAAGUUUCUUGGAUGUGUUUGGCUGAACUUUCUGGCAACAAAGUUAACCUGGGAAUUAUGCUUUAUUACAACUAGUAGUAAAAUAAGUACACUUUAGCAGGAGUGAGAGGACUAGGAGGCUAGGCUGGAAUUAAAGAUGAUCUGUACAGCAGAGAAUCCACAUUCAUAAUUAAGAGCUACGUGUGGAGAACACUCUUUGCAUUCCAGACAAGGAAUCAGGUGGCCUGUGAGGCAGGUUCUUCCAUAUAUGAAGUUAUUUGGCCAAGAAGUAUGUUGCAGCUCACCAAACCAUAUGUAUGGAAGAAGGGGUGCCUUUUUCUAAUUCAUGCAGAGGUGCCAUAUGAGCUAGCAGUUCUCCUAGCAAGCUCACCCUUCCAAUCCCUAUCCAAAUGACCUCAGGCAAAAUAUUUUACCUCUCUGAGCCAUUGCUUCCUCAUUUCUAAAAUAGUGAUGAAAAUAUCCACCUUGAAGGUUGUUUGGGGACUUAGAGUAUUUAUUAAAGCACUUAGCAAGGCACCUGGCAUAGAGUAGGAUCUUGGUAAAGAUCAUUUGCCUUCUUAGGGGAUGGGACUAGUUUCCAAUGCCUGGAUAGAUAGCAAAUCCGUCUGCUUUCUGCAGUCAUCCUUGUUCAGCAACUUGCCAGGUCUCUAGGAAUUGUUUCUGAAUGUUAGGCAACUAAUGUUGACCUUCCUCUUGCUGUGGUUUCCCAGGAAAAAUCUUCAGACACUGAUAGCAGAAGCAUCAAGUUGAAAGUUAAGUUCCUCAAAUUGGGGAAGAAGAAGGUAGAAGAGGGAGACAAGCCUAAAUCAGGCCAAGGAGUCCAGGGUUUUAUUGGUAAGUGCCCCCCACAGGCAUAGGGGUCAUGAAGACUUUCCCAGAAGCUUGGGAACCUCCCAGGGACCUAAAUCUCCCAUUAGAAAUAUUCAUGGGUAUGGUGGUAAUGGAGGAGGAGAUGGACUGGGAGCCAACCUUAGGCAAUGCCAAGCAGCCUCUUAGACAAAGUGUGAGUUAAAAAGUGAUAUUGACACUGGCAGUGGGACAACCUGAGAAGUAACCAUGCUGUGUGGUCUCUGUGAUACAGACAGCUGAAGAGAAAGAUGGGAACAGGCAGUUACUUUUCUCCUUGACCCAUUCCUGUGCUUGGUCAAUAAAGUAUGGCAAAAUAGUCAUACUUAGAUCACUCUCACAGUCAAAUACAGCUACAAGCUUUUGGUUGUGCUCCAGAAAGCAGUAUUGUUUGAUAUGGUUUGGGGGUAUCAGUGCUGGGCACCUACAAGGUGAAGAGUAGUUUCUGUGACCAAUCUAAACCUAUUCAUCUGUAAAUCCCUGGAAAUGCAAGUUUACUAUAUUUUAUCAUUUGAAUUUUGGUUUCACCCCUUCUUCAGAGUUGGACUUAAGUGUUAUUGAUAUGUCAGUGGGGCUCAAAAGAAGGUUCUAGAGUUGUCAGUUAUGCCAAUUCUGAUGUCAGUGGUCUUUCCUAAAUUUGGAGCCUAGACAACCUGAAAGCUUGAAAGAUAUACCAAUAAUGGACAUGAAAGGGUGGCUGUUUGUUUGUUUUUGAGGAAAUGAGAGUCUGCACAGAUGUCAAGAGAGAAUUUCUUGGAUCAAGCUAUGUUUUCUCAGGUUUGGUCUAACUGGGUUGAUUUCCUAAGAAUCUGCCAUUUGGAGACCAUGGUGUUUGAGAGUCUUUCUGAAAACUCUGAAGGGGUCAAUAGCAGUUCCAUGGAUUAUCAGGUUCUGAGAAUGCAUCCCAUUUGUGUUUGCCACACAUGGUUUCAGCUAGUAUUUUUAGAUGGUUCAGAGCCAGUUGGUACAAUAGGAACAAACCAGUCUGUCUCCUAACAGACUCUUGUUGGGCCUCUUUAGGGUCCACACAUUUGGGUAUCUGGCAAUGUGCUAACCUCAUUAUUUGUAUACUUGUAUUUUCUCUAAAGGAAGUUUGUGGCAUCGCAGAAAUCAUGAAGAUGAAGCAAAAGAUGAUGAUCCUCCAACAUCAAGAUUUCAACUGUAGUCCUUAAAAUCUGGAAGGAGAACUCACAAUGUUUAGAAUUCUACUACAAAACUCUCAAAACCUCAAUACAGGCUAGACUAAAUUAUUUCAGAACAAACAUGAGCACCACCAAGAAAGAGUCUCCAAUUCUUUACACUAAUAUGCUUUUCCUGGACUCAAUCAGGUCUCCUUAGAGGUUUACAUUUUCUCAUUGGCCAAAGAUUCUUGUUCCGAGUUGUCUUGUUCAGUUCUCCUCUGUGCAUCUUGAGCAACUACAGUAUUUAAUUAGGAUAAGCUCAUUAUGAAUGGCCUGGGAUCUACAAAGGAUUCAAGAAAGUUCACUUGUUCAGGGAAUUUGGGAAUGGUCUUCUCUGAUGAGCAGAGAAACUGUUGAUACCAGGGAAUGAGUGAAAGAAAGAAAUACUCUCAGGGAGAUAAGGAGAGGGGUGAGGCCAGCCAGGCUUGGUUGUUUCUCCCCCAGUUCCUGCCAGUUGCAAUUUGUAACUUUAGGAGGCAUCUUCUAGUUGGCUUAUUAAGAUGAGAACUAGGUCCUGGGGGCUUGUCCACUUGCCUGUUAAAAUUACCAUGUGAAAUCUUUUCUUGUAGACAUGGUGACUGCAUUCUCUGAAAACUCUUUGUGUUUUUCCAUGUGUGCAUGUACGUCUUUGCACAUGUCCAGGUGGUGCUCUGGUGGCUGGGUGGGCCCACUGGUUGGAACUCACCUCAAUGGCAACCAUACAGGAUCCCCUGCUACUGCCUUGAUCCUAGCCUGCAUGCCUCCAUGGAGUGUUUGCCUGCAUUCUUGCUGGGUUUUUUAACUAAAUGUUUUGCCGCUGUGCUGCAGUAUAGAUUAUGUACAGAGACAUAAAGAUGUGUAUAUAUAUAUAUUAAUAUAUAUAUAAUAUAUAUACUAUAUAUAUAUAUUAUAUAUAUAGUAUAUAUAUAUUUUAAAGAACUGAAAGUACAACUCGACCUCUAAGUGACCCUAUACUUUACUGUGCUAACCCAGGAAUCCUUCCCCACCUUGAUCCCACCCGAAUUCCCAUAACCAUACACCCAUAUACACGCCUCUACCAACUGCCCUAGUUCUUGGUGGAGUUUCUAAUAUUUUGGUGCAUUUUCAGCGUCUUAGAAGUGGCUGGGAUCUAUAGUCCAGCUGAUUCUGACGACCCCCUUCCAUAAAAUUCUGAGCCAGGCCACGGAAGGGGGAACAAAAACAUCAAUGCCCUAGAGAAGGGGCUAAGCUGGCAUGCUGCCUUGUUUGCUCUAUUUGUCCUGGACUCUACAUCAGCAACUGCCCCAAACUGUACUGUCCCCUUCCCCAGUAAAGACUAUAUGGAGCAACCAGGCCUUGAGCUCUGUGACUUAGAUGCCUAAGCUAGGGACUGCCUGACAAGUCACAGCCUAGGCCUUCCCCACAAGCUCCAUCUUGGCCUGAGUCUUCUGGACAGGCUGUUGGGUCAGUCCCCAAAUCACCUUCAAAUCUCCCAUCUUGCUCCUUUCCCUUGAGUACAAAGGGACAUUCAGAGUGAUCAGAAACAACACGGGCCUGGGAAAAUGGAGGCUAAAAGCCUCUGCUUCUCCCAUGGUUCCUCCAAAUUUCUCAUGGGAACAAACUAGGCAAAAGUUGCUCCAAAUCCCAAUUAGCAUUUUUUGAAUGCCUGCACCCGGUCAGGCAAAUCUAAUCAAACUCAUUGUCCAGAGAAGUUCUCUCUGGUCUCCCUUGUAUUCCCAUCCCCAUCCCCUUCAACUCAUACUUUUGGUAAGUGUCCCUUCCCACUUAUAAAGAGAAAGCCAGAAAACUGGCCUUUCCCCACUUCUCAAACAGCGUGCUCAAUUACCUGACUCAGUCCAUUGGCUGGUUCAUCGAGGUGCACAAUCCAGACUCCAAGCACUGGUUCUCAACUCUGGAACUCCACCAGCCUAGCCCACUUAAACCAGCCACCUGUGUUCCACCUCUACAGGGGUGAGGAGAAAAAUACUAACAAGGGGAUAGUCCCCAGACGUCUGAUUGCUAUGCCAAACAACAAAAAAGUCCUAGCUCUACAACUGGAGAAGAAAGUUAAUGGAAAAAGAUGAGAGAAAACAUUUAAAACUUAUUUGAGCAUCAGAAUAGGUUAACUUACUGUAUGUAUUUGAGUGGGGACUGUGCUGUUGCUGUGUCUUUGGCUUUCUCUGCAUCACUCUUUCUUCCCAGAAGGAGGUAUUAGAUCAAAUCAGCAAGGUCACCAUUGCAGCCCGACUUGGCUUCUCUGUGGCUUAUACAGUCUUGCAUACACAGUCACUCACAGAGUUGGGUACCAAGUUACAUUUUUUUUCUCAGAAGAGCCUUUUUCAAAAUGGAAAAUUUCCAAAUGAGCAAAUUUUGGGAAUCAGAAGGAAGUCCUAGGAGAAGCUAGCCUUAUCUUGGCAGUGCCUAAGCAGGGCUGUGUCUUAUAAUUAUUUUCAUCACCGAUGAUAGUAAACUGUAAUAGGGCUCCAUCUCUUGUGCCUACUUUGCUGACUUACUAUAUGUCUUUGUACACUGUAAGGCUACUGUUGCUCUAUGGUACCAUCUGGAUUCCCUUUCACCCAUCCUGUCCUCCCACAGAGUCAAAAUGAUAUUGAAUGAAACCACUAGGAUUUAAGGUUGAAGUCAACUCAUAGAGCAGAAUCAAUAGCUGAUGAGACCCAGGAGCAGGUGUGGCUUGCUAAAUCAUUUGCUUACCUCCUAAAUUGCCUAGUUACCAGUUGAUUGCCAUAAAGGAAGACAGCUUGCUGAGCACCUGUUCUUGCAUGUCCUGUCUUGGAAGCAAAGCAAGAAGUGAUCUCUUUCUCAAGGGGAGCUGGCUAAGCCUCUAGAAGAAUAAGCUCCUUUCAGAACUUCAUUGUUAAAUACUUGCAGUAAUACAGUCGCUCAGGUGGUGGAAUCAGACACCAAAUGUCCAUCUUAAUUAUGUUCAGAGAUGCCAUUAAGAGCUAACCUUCUGGGGUUUGGUUGCAUUUUUGGUAGUACUUUCUGAGGGAUUGAUUCAGUGGGCAAUUCUUGGCCGGAAGAUUAGUGGGGAAAGAGAAUAUCAAUAGCUUUGGACUGCCAUCAACUGCCUCUGCUGUCAAUACUACAGAAGGUCAGCAGCUUUCAGUCCCCACUCCAAAAAGGGCCUAUGCUGUGUCCAAAUGUGCAAGAAUAAGGAGGACAUUUUCAACUUAAAAACUUAGGUUUCAGGUUCAUAAGAAGAAACAGUUUGGGUCAACAUCAUCUUCCCUCAGGACAGAGGUAGAAGAACUGUAGCUUCAUAAGAGGUAGAAACUAAUACCAAAACAACCAAACCCAUGAGCACCAUUCCAUCCUGUAAAGAACCUUGACUGGCUAUAUGGUUUAUGGAAUUGGAUUUGUCUAUAUUUCUGCUAAUCUGUAAACCACGUUGUUUCCUGUUUUGUGUUUUUUGCUUCCUCAGAGGUCCCUGCAAAUAAGCAGCAGGGCCAGGGUCUGGUUGGGGGAGGAAACUAGGGUAAUUAGGGAUAGUAGCAAAAAUCAGAAAGAAAAGGUCCAAAAAGUGUGCCUAUUCCUCCUCCCCCCCCCCAAUGGAACACCAGUCCUCAAAGUUAAUAAAGUUUUGCUUCUUAAAAUAUUUUAAUAAAUGGAUAAAUGUAA